This 433-nucleotide ribosomal RNA is filed under the name uncultured bacterium. Its description in RNAcentral is "partial 16S ribosomal RNA". It matches the Rfam family "Bacterial small subunit ribosomal RNA", at positions 29 to 507 of the family's 1533-position model. The record is from RNAcentral.
AACGAACGCUGGCGGCAUGCCUAAUACAUGCAAGUCGAACGAGAUCUUCGGAUCUAGUGGCGCACGGGUGCGUAACGCGUGGGAAUCUGCCCUUGGGUUCGGAAUAACUUCUGGAAACGGAAGCUAAUACCGGAUGAUGACGUAAGUCCAAAGAUUUAUCGCCCAAGGAUGAGCCCGCGUAGGAUUAGGUAGUUGGUGAGGUAAAGGCUCACCAAGCCGACGAUCCUUAGCUGGUCUGAGAGGAUGAUCAGCCACACUGGGACUGAGACACGGCCCAGACUCCUACGGGAGGCAGCAGUAGGGAAUAUUGGACCAUGGGCGAAAGCCUGAUCCAGCAAUGCCGCGUGAGUGAUGAAGGCCUUAGGGUUGUAAAGCUCUUUUACCCGGGAUGAUAAUGACAGUACCGGGAGAAUAAGCUCCGGCUAACUCCGUG